RNAcentral lists this ribosomal RNA (492 nucleotides) under uncultured bacterium. Its description in RNAcentral is "partial 16S ribosomal RNA". It matches the Rfam family "Bacterial small subunit ribosomal RNA", at positions 29 to 507 of the family's 1533-position model. The record is from RNAcentral.
AGUGAACGCUGGCGGUAGGCCUAACACAUGCAAGUCGAACGGCAGCACAGUAAGAGCUUGCUCUUACGGGUGGCGAGUGGCGGACGGGUGAUGAAUACAUCCGAAUCUACUUUUUCGUGGGGGAUAACGUAGGGAAACUUACGCUAAUACCGCAUACGACCUACGGGUGAAAGCAUGGGAUCUUAGGACCUUGCGCGAUUGAAUGAGCCGAUGUCGGAUUAGCUAGUUGGGGGGGUAAAGGCCCACCAAGGCGACGAUCCGUAGCUGGUCUGAGAGGAUGAUCAGCCACACUGGAACUGAGACACGGUCCAGACUCCUACGGGAGGCAGCAGUGGGGAAUAUUGGACAAUGGGCGCAAGCCUGAUCCAGCCAUGCCGCGUGGGUGAAGAAGGCCUUCGGGUUGUAAAGCCCUUUUGUUGGGAAAGAAAAGCAGCAGGUUAAUACCCCGCUGUUCUGACGGUACCAAAAGAAUAAGCACCGGCUAACUUCGUG